Molecule: non-coding RNA, 158 nt
Organism: Streptomyces turgidiscabies Car8
Lineage: Bacteria; Bacillati; Actinomycetota; Actinomycetes; Kitasatosporales; Streptomycetaceae
Source: Rfam
CCCCAUCGAACACCCGAGUACGGCAGGAGCGGGGGACCCACAGGCAGAACGCCUGUUCCGGUCUCUGGAACAGGCUUGGGGUUAAGUCACGUUCAGGCGUGGCCGGACAUCUCCAGUCCGCACCCGACAGCUCACCUCGCAGGCGACGGAGAGGAAUU